Molecule: ribosomal RNA, 738 nt
Filed under: Arturia spirallata
Lineage: Eukaryota; Metazoa; Porifera; Calcarea; Clathrinida; Clathrinidae
Description: eukaryotic LSU rRNA
Rfam family: 5.8S ribosomal RNA (bases 253-406)
Source: RNAcentral
GGAAGGAUCAUUACCGAAUCCAAACCUUUUUAUCACACCGUGAACUUGGUCGCGCACUGUGCGUCCGUCUCCUUUCCAGUCGGGGUUGGUUCUCCAUUAAAUCGCAAGCAAAGUCCGCCUGUCGGACUGAGUGCGCGAGCCCCGAUUGGAGACGGCGUGCGUGCGUGGUUUUCUCCUUUCUUUAACCAAGCAAACUUGCAGACUGAACUGUUGGGCUUUUUCGAAAGCUUGUCUUUUGAUCUAAUCGAGGACAACUUUCAACGGUGGAUCUCUUGGCUCGUGGAUCGAUGAAGAACGCAGCAAAACGCGAUAUGUAGUGUGAAUUGCAGAAUUCAGUGAAUCAUCGAAUUUUUGAACGCAAAUGGCGCUCCUGGGUAUUCCCAGGAGCAUGUCUGUCUCAGUGUCGAACUCACCUCGAACGCGCUUCGGCGCGGCGGUCUUGAGGCGUCUGAGAGUCUCAUUAGAGUUCUUUCAGUCCCUUGAAAUGCAGUGGCCGGACGUUGUGCUGCAGCAUGGCCUCGGGUCGGUUUGCCCUGGUUUUGCUCGCACGGCUGAUUCUCUCUGUCGUGUCGCAGCUUCCUUGGCGCACCAGACUUUCAUGCCAGCACACGUCCGAAACAAGCCAGCUCUGGAAACAAACGUUGAAGAGUUCACUCUCUUCUCCAUCUUCGACCUGAGAUCAGGCAAGACUACCCGCUGAAUUUAAGCAUAUUAAUAAGCGGAGGAAAAGAAACUAAC